GAUGGACACAGUGAUUCGGAGAGAACUUCAAGCUGUUUACAGAGUCACCUGUUUCUUCAGUCUGCAGCAGGUGUCAGACUUGAGUGUUACCUGAGGCCCGUGUUUUGGAGGUGCCCUGCUGGGAGGGAGGUGGGAUUCCUGUUGGACUGGUUGAGCCUGUUCCUCCAGACAGACCCGUAUGAAGUGCGGUGCACUCCUCCUUGCACUGUUGCUCUGAAGACUGGCCCUUAUCUGCUCGUGCACAGUUCCACGGUGUGUUUCAAGAAGAAGUACUGUGCAAGGGCUAUAUUUAGAAAUGGUGACAUUGUCGCUAAUGUUUAUUUGGAUGGCCAUGCUGUAUGACGCGUGGAAAUAAUAUGUUAACUCAGUGAAUGUUGUUGAUCAUGAGUGAGGGUGGUGUUGAGAGUGAGAGAAAAGCUCCCGGUUAGCCACCGUAUUCAAGUGCAUUCAAGUAAUUCAUUACGUCUUUUGUUCGCUGGCUUCCCUCCAUGUCAAAGGAAAAACCCCAUUUGAGUCACGACUUGGUGAAAUAGCAUGUUAAUGAUGUAAAGCUUAAUGUAAUUGUGUGCAUAUAAGACCUUUAUGCAUACAUAACACUGAAAAAAAACACCUUAUAGUAUAAGUAUACAAGCAAUCUAUGUGACAAUUUAGGUCAAAAUGAUCCAAAUUGUAGUUGUAGCAGGCAACAUUGCAACAGGUUAGGUCAUGUGUCGAGUCAUUUUUGUAGUUAAAGUAUUGUCGCAACUUACUUCUGCGCAGCUCUGUGCUAAUUGUUAGCAUCAGUAAUGUGUCUGGAGGAAAUAGGAUGCAGCAGCCGAGCAGACUGAAUAACAUAGAAGUGAUUCAGAUCAGAUGUCCAUCUGUGAGUUUCCCCCCUUUUGGCAGGUGCCAGCAUGAUGAAGCCCUCCUUCGGUCUCGACCCCUAGAGAUGGACUUUGCCAUGCCCGGGCGUGACCUGGCACAUCU
Molecule: long non-coding RNA, 966 nt
Organism: Alosa sapidissima (American shad)
Lineage: Eukaryota; Metazoa; Chordata; Actinopteri; Clupeiformes; Clupeidae
Exons: 3
Source: RefSeq, a predicted model, not a curated record